UGGUGGAGUGAUUUGUCUGGUUAAUCCCGUUAACGAACGAGACUCUAGCCUGCUAAAUAGACGGGCGAUCCCUUUGUGGGUCGACCCGAUUGCUUCUUAGAGGGACAAGUGGCGUUCCCAGCCACGCGAAAUUGAGCAAUAACA
This 144-nucleotide ribosomal RNA is filed under the name uncultured eukaryote. RNAcentral describes it as "partial 18S ribosomal RNA". It matches the Rfam family "Eukaryotic small subunit ribosomal RNA", at positions 1299 to 1458 of the family's 1831-position model. The record is from RNAcentral.